UACGUAGGGUGCAAGCGUUGUCCGGAAUUAUUGGGCGUAAAGAGCUCGUAGGCGGUUCGUCGCGUCGGCUGUGAAAUCCCGAGGCUCAACCUCGGGUCUGCAGUCGAUACGGGCGGACUGGAGUUCGGCAGGGGAGACUGGAAUUCCUGGUGUAGCGGUGAAAUGCGCAGAUAUCAGGAGGAACACCGGUGGCGAAGGCGGGUCUCUGGGCCGAUACUGACGCUGAGGAGCGAAAGCAUGGGGAGCGGACAGG
RNAcentral lists this ribosomal RNA (253 nucleotides) under uncultured bacterium. RNAcentral describes it as "partial 16S ribosomal RNA". It matches the Rfam family "Bacterial small subunit ribosomal RNA", at positions 524 to 776 of the family's 1533-position model. The record is from RNAcentral.